This is a long non-coding RNA of Carassius auratus (goldfish), 3537 nucleotides long. The record is from Ensembl. Lineage: Eukaryota; Metazoa; Chordata; Actinopteri; Cypriniformes; Cyprinidae.
UUAAAUAUUAUAUUUUUAAUUUUAUAUAAAAGUUAUAUUAAAAUAUAAAAAUAAUUGAUGAUUUUCAUGAUUUCCUGUGUUAAAGGAAAUGGUCAUGUGAGAAUAAACUGUGACAGAGGUUCAGUCUUGUUGGGGAAAGACCACAAACACACACAGCAUCGGUUCAGUCGUGUUUCAGAGGUGUUAAGCACUGCUACUGUGGGCUUUUCAGAGAACCGAUGAAGACAAUGUUUCUCAAAUGCGUUUGGUUCUGUUUGUGUUUCUGGCAUCUGGAUGUUGAGUUUGAAAUGCGUUUUUAUGGCUUCAGUUGGUUGCGUUCUGGUAACAUGUAAGACUUCCAUGUUAGAAGAUAUUUUGAAGCUGUAAUCUGUGACCAACUCUGUUCUUCAGGUGUGUUUGGUGAUGAUGAAGUGAGGUCAGUGUCAGUGUUGGAAGGAGAUUCAGUCACUCUAAACACUAGUCUGACUGAAUUAAUAAAUGAUGAUCUGAUUCAGUGGAGGUUUGGGAUUGAAAUCACUUUAUUGGCUGAAAUCAAUAAAAGGGCCGAUUUAAUCACUGUAUAUGACGAUGCUCAUGGUGGGAGAUUCAGAAACAGACUGAAGCUGAACAAUCAAACUGGAUCUGUGACCAUCACAACAACCCAUUCUCACUCCAAAGGCGUCAAAAACCGAAGCAUGGUCAAGCGCCCCUAGCGUCACUUUUAUGACGCCAAAUGUGCCUCUCGGCGUCGACUAUCGAAGCACUACGACCUUCAUUGCUUUCAGUGGGAAACUUUUGGCGUCAGAAUUCGACACGAGGACAUGAGAUGUUUAUCGCUAUGAAAUCACGUUCAAGAAGUCUCAUUCAGCACACAUCGCGCGAUACUUGCUAUCAGUUCCACAGUUUGGCUGAAAAGACGUAAAGGCAGUCAGCCCAGUGGUGUUUCUGGAGAGGGAUUCCUUCAGCCACUUGAUUACUUAUUUGAAGUCUUUCCUGUAUUUGGCCUAGUGUUCAAGUGAGCAUGAUGACCACAAGUGUGUGUCAAACUUUUCAUGACCUGAUGACUGUGUUUCCCAAUCCUGAUCCUGGAGAACCCCAGCACUGCACGGUUUUGGUGUCUCUCUUAUCUGCCUUGGAGUCUUCACUGAUGAGCUGAUGAGUUGAAUCAGGUGUGUUUGAUCAGGGAGACAUCUCAAAUGUGCAGUGUUGGGGUUCUCCAGGACCAGGAUUGGGAGCCACUGCCUUAUGGGACACUUAUGUGUUUAAAGAGAUUUUUAAUAUCUAAUUAUCAAUAUUUCACAUACUGUACUAAACACAUCACAGUCUUAAUAAUCCAGUUUAACACUUGUAUGAUAUUGUACAAGCCCCAGGACGGUCUCAUCUGACACUAUCAAAAGAAUUCAUAUGACUAUAGCUUGUUAUUAAUUACUUGCUUUCAAUAAUGGAUUCAUUUAACAUUUAAUUUUACAGCAUCUUUACAGAGGCUGCUUUUAUGGUCUAAACAAAACACAGUGUAAUGUAUAAGUUGAAUGUAAUGUAAUAUUUCUGUUUUACAGGAUUGUUUGAGGAUAACACAGCAGUUCUCCAUCACGCACAAGGACUCACCUCGUUAACUCUUUAUCCCCCACACACACAGAUAUGGUCCCUGGAUCAGUGAUUAGACUUUGCAGUGGUUAGAUUUUUGCAGAAGAUGUAACUUUGUUUUAUUUAUAAGCUCAUAAUGAAUACAUUACAGAACCAGUGAUGAAAACAAUAGUUAAAAAUAGUAUUUUUCGUAUUGAUAAAGCAUUUUGUUCUCUUUUUCAAGCUUCAUACAGUGAACUUUUUAGACUUUAAUUAAGAGUUUUAGUAAAGGAGAUAUUCAUACACAGUCAUCCCCUAGCUCCAGUCAUGAAGUGAAUUCAUGAUGUUAUUGUCAAAGCUAGCAGGUGUUUGUUUUCCUGAACACUUUCUCUGUCUUCCAUUGUUCAGACAAUCAGUGUUUAUUUGAUGCUGUGCUGAUUGAGUUUUAUAGAUGAUAUUGCACACUUGACAUGCAUGUCUUCAUGGUGUUUUUUUUGUGAGUUUGAAACAUUUACAUUGUGUUGUAUAACAUUUUGGUCAAUUUAAUUUUUUUAAUAAAAUUGAUCUUUUUCCAGUGUUCUCUGAAAGACAUACUGUAUUUACUGUUUUGUUUUUUAAUAAAAGCAUUUUCAUUUGCAUACUGAAAAUAGUUAAUGUUUACAACAUAACUGCCUUUUUAUUCUUUAUGGUGGCAAAAACGAGCUUGGUGACAGAGGACGCAGUGUAGUAAUUUGGGCAUGUUGUCUUUAAAUGAGUUUGACAUAUCAAUAAAUAAUGGAAGAUCCUUACAAAAAUAUGCAUGUUUAUUAUGCUUUAUGUAUUUAUUUGUUCAUUCAUUCAUUCAUUAAUUUAUAAUUUCUGUUUUUAUUCCUAGGGUUCAAAUGGUAGAGAAUGGUAAAUCACAGAAACACAAAUGUGAACAAUUUUAACUUUAAAACACAAUGUAAUAUACAAUGUAAAUUUUAGAAGCACGUCAUUUGAUUAGUAAAUAUAUUUGUCUUUGGUCAAAAAAAAAAAAAAUACAAAUCUUAAAAAUGUGUCUUAUAUUUAAUGAGAGGAAUCUAUCUGUUGGAUACAACUGCGACUGCUGGGCAUGUGCACAUCAAUAUUGCCCAAUUUUUGUCAAGCUGAACAACGGAGGAAGGUGAAGACGUUAAUAAAACAGAAUCUAAUAAGUAGCAAGCUUAAUCUAUUGUUAACCGAAUCUAUCCCUUCAGCCGAAAAACGAAAGACAUCUGUCAUACAUGGAUAAGGAAGUGUGACGCUGCUGCUCAGCUUAGAUGUCAUUGGCUAUGACUUUUCAGGACAGUCUGUGGUUGGACUAUCUUUUAACCCAUAUUAAACAGCGCAUCAUGUUAAAAAGUAUGUUUUGCUCCUAUCAUCACAUUAGUAAUAUAUUAAGUCAACAAUGAAGUGUUGCUAUCUUGAGAAAAAUGACAUCUCUAGCGAGAUCCUAAUCCUAAACCCUAAGCAUAACUUCAAUGAACUACAAAAAACAGCCCCCUAGUGUUGCCUUUCUAUAGAUAGAACGACGGAGGCUUGUGGGUAAUGUAGUUUAAAACUUUUUAUUAACGAAACUAAAUAAAUUAUUUAUUUUAAGGUAAACUGGAUAUCUAAAUAUGUUUAUUGUGCAAACAUCUGUGAUAUAUUUGAGAGGCAGGCUGAAAUGUGGUAUUUUACAGUGAGCAAUAUUUAAAAUGCUUUUAUGCCAGCUUUCCACUUAUUUCUGAAAACUGAGCUCAACAUUAUUUUAUCAGCAUAGCAUAAGUAAUAAUCCUGCCCAUUUUCUCUUUGAUAUGUUAAUUGCACUCUGAUUUACAGCCAUUUGAAAUGCACAGUUUUGGGCUCUUCCGGGGGGUGCUACUGGGCCCCUGGGGUUAGCAGGGCAGUAAAACCUACAUAUAUGUAUUCUCCUCAUCAUGAACAACAAUCUGAGCUGAGUCACAUUUAUAUCUGACAGUUUUCACAGUCCUCUGUUUUCUAUUCUAUUCAUCA